AUUGAACGCUGGCGGAAUGCUUUACACAUGCAAGUCGAGCGGCAGCGCGGGGGCAACCCUGGCGGCGAGCGGCGAACGGGUGAGUAACAUAUCGGAACGUACCCAGUCGUGGGGGAUAACUAUCCGAAAGGAUAGCUAAUACCGCAUACGUCCUGAGGGAGAAAGCGGGGGAUCGCAAGACCUCGCGCGAUUGGAGCGGCCGAUAUCGGAUUAGCUAGUUGGUGGGGUAAAGGCUCACCAAGGCGACGAUCCGUAGCGGGUCUGAGAGGACGACCCGCCACACUGGAACUGAGACACGGUCCAGACUCCUACGGGAGGCAGCAGUGGGGAAUUUUGGACAAUGGGGGCAACCCUGAUCCAGCCAUUCCGCGUGAGUGAAGAAGGCCUGG
This 389-nucleotide ribosomal RNA is filed under the name uncultured bacterium. RNAcentral describes it as "bacterial SSU rRNA". It matches the Rfam family "Bacterial small subunit ribosomal RNA", at positions 29 to 419 of the family's 1533-position model. The record is from RNAcentral.